RNAcentral lists this ribosomal RNA (326 nucleotides) under uncultured Chloroflexota bacterium. RNAcentral's name for it is "bacterial SSU rRNA". It matches the Rfam family "Bacterial small subunit ribosomal RNA", at positions 28 to 351 of the family's 1533-position model. The record is from RNAcentral. Lineage: Bacteria; Bacillati; Chloroflexota.
GAUGAACGCUGGCGGCGUGCCUAACACAUGCAAGUCGAACGAAGAAAUUGUAGCAAUACGGUUUCUUAGUGGCGGACGGGUGAGUAACACGUAGGUGACCUGCCCCGAAGUGUGGAAUAACAGUCCGAAAGGAUUGCUAAUACCGCAUGUGGUCUGUGAGGUUAGAGUCUUGCAGACUAAAGCAGUAAUGUGCUUCGGGAGGGGCCUGCGCCCCAUCAGCUAGUUGGUAGGGUAAUGGCCUACCAAGGCAACAACGGGUAGGGGGCCUGAGAGGGUGACCCCCCACAUUGGCACUGACACACGGGCCAAACUCCUACGGGUGGCAG